Aphis gossypii (cotton aphid) is the source of this 1233-nucleotide long non-coding RNA. RefSeq lists it as uncharacterized. The transcript has 2 exons. The record is from RefSeq and is a predicted model, not a curated record. Lineage: Eukaryota; Metazoa; Arthropoda; Insecta; Hemiptera; Aphididae.
UCCUUCCUAAAGUCCAUACAAUUAAAAUUAGAUAGUAUCUUCCUAGGCACGUGGUGUAUAGCAAGAAGUUGUAACAAUUCUACACUAUUCCUAUUGGUACGAUUGUUUAAUGUAUCAUUAAAUGAUCUAUAAAGUAUAAAUUUGAUUUCCAACCUAAUCUGUAGAGUGCAAACGACUGGGUUUUCAGUUAGGUACUUAAAAGUUAGUUUUAUAAUCGAAUUGUUUUGAAAUAAUUUGGCACCUGUUAGAUUAUGGAAUAACUAUGCAGUUUUUAAAAUAAUAACAUAUUUCCUGUAUAAUAAUAAUUAAUAGGUACUUAUUUGAUAAUUGCAGGCGUGGGUUUAUGUGUUAUUGUACGUAGGUAUCUGUAUACGCAUUUAGUCGUCGCUUAUUGGACUCACUUUGGGAAGAAUAAAAGGAUAAAUAAUAUGUAUAUUAUAAUUAAUAUUAUAAAUAUACAAAUAUAUUGUAUUUAGCUAGGUAUUAUAAUAAAUACUCAUUGUUAAGCGUUUAUAAUUAUUUAUGUUGUCAAUCAUAAAGAAAAAAUAUGAAAAUUGACAACACUAUAACUAUAAAUAAAUAAAAUAUAUUUUUUUUCGAAAAUAAUGUUUUGUUAUGACUUAAAAUUUUAUUAGAAAUAUAUUUUUAAAAUCUUAAAUAUUUUUAGAUGUGUGGCAAGUCGAGAAAAUAGUAUUAUCAGGUGAGGAUAGAAAUAAGUAUCUAUAAAAUCGAAAAAAUGGAUAAAAUGUGAAAAUAUAUCGUUCAAUAUACAUCGUUGACUAUAUUAAUCAGCUGUGCAUCGAGUCUGAUUGGCGAAUUAGUCCAUUACCGAAGAGUUCAAUAACUAAUAAGCGGCGACUACAUACUUUCUGUGUCACUAUAAUAGUAUGUAACUAUAUACUUAUAGAAUGUAAUAAAACUGGACCAAGAAAUUAUAUCAUGCAACGAUAAAAUUAAUUGGCCUAGCCUAUCAUUAUAUUUUGUUUGACGUGUGUAAUUAUUGCGCUUAAAUCGUUUAUUAGUAAAUGCAAUUUGAGUGACUUAUUAGCUUACCAUACUGUUUUGGUGCCGUAUGGCGGACAGUGCACCUUAUGAGUCUCAACCCGGGCCGGUCGAGGUUCCAACUUAGCCAUUCGGCUACUUCGUCACCACAGUCGAUUCCUUCCAAGGACCCACCCCAACAUAUUUUGCCUUCCUUUUUCUUAGCGUCGGUUUGUUUCGUCUCCAGAGAAA